GUGAUGGUGGUGGAGAUAGGAAAGGGAAGGGCAACCCUGUUGAAGGUCUGGUAAAACUGUGUUUGGGUCUCGCCGAGGAAGCUCUUGAGGACGCAGAUAAGAGAUCGUGGGAUGAUGUUUUCGGACAGCUUGCGCCAAUCUGCGAAGCCAUACUAGAGGAGCUGGAGGAGGAUGACGGAAAUGACAAAGACGAUGGAUCCCGUGGACCAAAACCUAGCGGACCUCCACCUUCCGGACGACCAGAGUCUAAAGAGGACGGCAGACCAAGCGGACCCCCGCCUACAGGUAGCCCAGAUAAACGCGGG
Long non-coding RNA from Mercenaria mercenaria, 305 nucleotides. RefSeq lists it as uncharacterized. The record is from RefSeq and is a predicted model, not a curated record. Lineage: Eukaryota; Metazoa; Mollusca; Bivalvia; Venerida; Veneridae. The transcript is spliced from 3 exons.